GUGAGGAAUAUUGCGCAAUGGAGGCAACUCUGACGCAGCCAUGCCGCGUGCAGGAAGAAGGCGCUACGCGUUGUAAACUGCUUUUAACCGGGAAGAAACCCCAGGACGUGUCCUGGGUUGACGGUACCGGAGGAAUAAGCACCGGCUAACUUCGUGCCAGCAGCCGCGGUAAUACGAAGGGUGCAAGCGUUAUCCGGAUUCAUUGGGUUUAAAGGGUGCGUAGGCGGAGCGUUAAGUCAGUGGUGAAAUCCUGCAGCUUAACUGUAGACUUGCCAUUGAUACUGGCGCUCUUGAGUGCGCUUGAAGUGGGCGGAAUGUGCCGUGUAGCGGUGAAAUGCUUAGAUAUGGCACAGAAUACCAAUUGCGAAGGCAGCUCACUAAGGCGAUACUGACGCUGAGGCACGAAAGCGUGGGGAUCGAACAGGAUUAGAAACCCCAGUAGUCC
Molecule: ribosomal RNA, 445 nt
Filed under: uncultured bacterium
Lineage: Bacteria
Description: partial 16S ribosomal RNA
Rfam family: Bacterial small subunit ribosomal RNA
Source: RNAcentral